RNAcentral lists this non-coding RNA (21 nucleotides) under Caenorhabditis elegans. The record is from RNAcentral. Lineage: Eukaryota; Metazoa; Nematoda; Chromadorea; Rhabditida; Rhabditidae.
UAAUAAAUAUUGCAGAUACAA